GCAUACGUGGCCGAGUGGUUAAAAACAUAUAAGGCGAGAGAUUAGAAUUAAUAAUUAUCUCUUGGGUUUUACCCUCGCAAGUUCGAAUCUUGCCGUGUGCG
This 101-nucleotide transfer RNA is filed under the name Cryptomonas curvata. RNAcentral's name for it is "tRNA-Ser". It matches the Rfam family "tRNA". Rfam says of the family: Transfer RNA (tRNA) molecules are approximately 80 nucleotides in length. Their secondary structure includes four short double-helical elements and three loops (D, anti-codon, and T loops). Lineage: Eukaryota; Cryptophyceae; Cryptomonadales; Cryptomonadaceae. The record is from RNAcentral.